GGAGAGAUGGCCGAGUGGUCGAAGGCACGCGACUCGAAAUCGCGCGUACCGCCACAAGCGGUACCGUGGGUUCGAAUCCCACUCUCUCCGCCA
This 93-nucleotide transfer RNA is filed under the name Caldicellulosiruptor morganii. RNAcentral's name for it is "tRNA-Ser". It matches the Rfam family "tRNA". Rfam says of the family: Transfer RNA (tRNA) molecules are approximately 80 nucleotides in length. Lineage: Bacteria; Bacillati; Bacillota; Caldicellulosiruptorales; Caldicellulosiruptoraceae. The record is from RNAcentral.